RNAcentral lists this ribosomal RNA (526 nucleotides) under uncultured bacterium. Its description in RNAcentral is "partial 16S ribosomal RNA". It matches the Rfam family "Bacterial small subunit ribosomal RNA", at positions 355 to 874 of the family's 1533-position model. The record is from RNAcentral.
UGGGGAAUUUUGGACAAUGGGGGAAACCCUGAUCCAGCCAUCCCGCGUGUGCGAUGAAGGCCUUCGGGUUGUAAAGCACUUUUGGCAGGAAAGAAACGUCGCGGGUUAAUACCCCGCGAAACUGACGGUACCUGCAGAAUAAGCACCGGCUAACUACGUGCCAGCAGCCGCGGUAAUACGUAGGGUGCAAGCGUUAAUCGGAAUUACUGGGCGUAAAGCGUGCGCAGGCGGUUCGGAAAGAAAGAUGUGAAAUCCCAGAGCUUAACUUUGGAACUGCAUUUUUAACUACCGGGCUAGAGUGUGUCAGAGGGAGGUGGAAUUCCGCGUGUAGCAGUGAAAUGCGUAGAUAUGCGGAGGAACACCGAUGGCGAAGGCAGCCUCCUGGGAUAACACUGACGCUCAUGCACGAAAGCGUGGGGAGCAAACAGGAUUAGAUACCCUGGUAGUCCACGCCCUAAACGAUGUCAACUAGCUGUUGGGGCCUUCGGGCCUUGGUAGCGCAGCUAACGCGUGAAGUUGACCGCCU